Molecule: long non-coding RNA, 9073 nt
Organism: Hippocampus zosterae (dwarf seahorse)
Lineage: Eukaryota; Metazoa; Chordata; Actinopteri; Syngnathiformes; Syngnathidae
Exons: 2
Source: RefSeq, a predicted model, not a curated record
CUGUGUGCUAGCUCUUCAUUAAGAAUGAAAUCACACACUUGACAUCAAUUAGAGCACCAAGCUCUCCUGGGUGCUCCAAGCGCAUCAUUAGUAGACACACGCCUCCUCUCCCUCUGUUCCCCCACUUGGAUCGCCCACUUCAUGCCAUUGCGUCACACUUCAAGCUGCUUCCUUUGCAUUUGUCCGCUCAUCUGCAGCUGAGCGCUUUGGCGGGCGCGGUAGCGUUUUCAAGGAAUAAAGGACCGAGAGGAGUGGGAGGGCGAGCAACCCGCUGUGACGGUGAAGGGAACGUUGGAAUUGGCUCUUAAUUUGCGGCCAACGUGUCGCAGCAGCGGCGGGCUCUCCUCCCGACAAGCAUAUCAGGCAAUUAGCAAGUGCUAAUCAUGACCCUCGUGUCGGCGCCACAGCCUCGUUUGUAAUCUCUUAAUGAACAAAUUGCAUCUCUGAUUAGAGGCCGUCUCACCGGGAGAGAGCAGGCGAGACCGCAGCGGAGGCAUCCGUAAUUGCCUCGGGAUGGCGUUCCCAUCGUGUAUUUCAAAACUUGUGAUGUAAAUGCAUCUCAGUGGGCAGACUCCAGAUUUUUGUGCUAUCCAUUUAGUUUGAUGGCAGAUGGAGUGCCAUAAACACGUGACAAGUAAUCAUCAUUAUCUGACAAGGAGAGUUGAGCUAUUGCCCAGUGUAAAACAAAUGUCACCGCUCAUGCGUGUGUAUGUGGGUGUCUGCCAUUAUCGCAUCGAAAUGAAAGUGGCCUCUUCAUGUUAUAAUCUAUGUUUCUCCUCCUCAUGUCCUGCUGGGUGUUCACCAGACAGGUCAAACGAAAUGGCUAGAGUAUGAACCCUCACAAGAGCUGUCAGUCAUAAAGAUUAGAGAGCAAAUCAGUUGGACGACGCAUAGAGCAGGGGUCCCCAAGUCCGUGGGGCAAAAAAGGUUGGGGACCCCUGGCAUAGAGUGUUUAUGAGGGGUUUGAACUCCAGUGAGCUUACCUGUAUGCCAUUUGGUGAGUACUCGUGAUCUCAUUAGAGCGACUCCGGGCCACUCGAGGUGAUGCCGGUUCAGCCCGCCUCUUUCUUAAAGAAGAGCGUUUUUGCGAGAGGCACACUCAUUAAAAAUACCCAUUGCAGUGGUUUAAUCACAUUAACAAGAACAGUCUGACCUAAUUGGUCCUGUGCACAUACAGUAUUAUAUUUACACAUUUGCCUUUUUCAAUUAUGCACAUUUAUCCAUAGUGUCAUGCAUAUUAGUGAAUAUGUAAUUUUUGUCACAUUCUCAUGGCUUCCCUCAGCCGCUGGGAGGUCAUAUGUUCACCUCCAAAUAACAAGUAGGGAAAAAAUCCAGAUUUCUGGUACUUGUAAUUGCUGUUUUUCAUCAAAUGUUGGCAAAAUUACAUGUAGCGAUGUGAUGGAACGUUCUUCGGAUACGAGUUUCUGCAGACCUAAUGGUGAGCGAAAUGUCCCGCUGAACAAUAAACCUUGGAAUCAUUUUUUUCUGGAAUGCAGCGGAUGCAUCCAGCUUUGUUUACUCCUCCACAUCUGCUCCACUUCGCUAAUUAGCCGCUAAUUGGCGCAGAGAAGGCGAACAGCUCACUCAAGUCUCUGUCACACGGUUUACCGGGGAGUCCUAGGAACUAAUGACGGCCCAGCAAACUUGUAUGCCAAGUGCACUCAAAAAAAAGGGCCGCAGGCAGCCAUUGAUAGCUGUCGAUUAAACAUUUAAUGCUAACCAAUCUUGCCAGGAUUAUCCCCAAAUUGCUUGUGGAACUAAACAUGCCGCAGAAGUUGUACAGAAACUACAUGUAAUGUCACAAAGACACAAAUUGACCUAACUUCUGCGAAACUUGAGCCAGCAUGGUUUUUCAAAUCAAAUAAAAUCAAUGGAAUUCAACAAAAAAUUGGAAUAAUUAAUCUCUUGAAGGAAAGUAGUCACAGCCUCCGAUACAAAAGAGACUCACGCUGCAAUGGCACAAAUAUGUUAUGAAGAGAAGAACGUGAGCAACAAAACAGCGGACCCUUGCACUUGCGGAUUCACUUCUUUGGGGAUUUCUUUUCAAUGUUUUUCUUUUUUGGGUGGUAACCAAACCUUGGUUUUCAUGGAGAACAUACCUUGAGGGUUUAUCAGCAUUUUGAGAAGAAUUUGAGUGGUUUGAAUAAUAUCCCCCACCAAUAUAUUUAUUUCAGUGAGUGUCGAAUUUGCACUAAGUAACUCUAUCACAGUUAAAAAGUAAAAUGCCAACUUUGGAGAAUGUGACAUAAAAAAUAAUCAAUGAAGUGUGCAAAGCUAUGUGAUUAGCGGGGGAAUGCACCCGUUUUCUAAAAAUGAAAUUUCAAAAGUAAUGUAAACUCUGAAAGGAUAAGUCGACAUGAUUACCUGAAAUCAUAAUGACAGGAGCAGAUCGUAGCAUGAUGAAAAAACCAAAAUUGUGUCAGUCAACAUUAAGUUGCAUGCAUGCGUGCGUGCGCCUUGCACUAAUGCAGGAAGAUGAAUAUGUGUGAUGAAGAGAAUCUUGACAGAAAUAGAGGGGCUGUAGAUAUACAGUCAAUGCCUUGAAGACUUUCUUACUGACCUGAACAUCUGCUACCUACAUUCCCUGAUCAUAUUUCAAUUGAAUAAGCUUGAAUUUUGAAAUGAGGUUCAUUUUAUGUCGGCCAAUGAAAGCUUAUUGAUUCCGGUUCUGAUUAUUAGGCCAAAAAUAAAAAUCCCUAUGUUGCGGUUAUAUUUUAUCCUAGGCUGCCAAGAUUUCAAUAUCUUUGAAAGAGUGUGCACUUGAAGACCCUGUUAAACAUGUCAAAAUUUUUCCCUUUUCCAAAAUCACUUCCCAUUUUGAUCUUCAAAAAUGUCCCAGGGUUGCCAGGUCUGCAACAAUAUCUGUCUUCCAUCCAUGCUCAGAGCAUUCCACUGCCCAACAUGCCCAUAGGAUGUUCAAUUGAACCCCCCCCCAGCCCCUAACAUUAAUCAUCUACUGCAGAGGUCCGCAGACGUGGGUCCGGUCCGCGGGUCAUAUGGUACCGGGCCGCACAGAAAGAACUUACAUGAAUUCCGUUUUAUUGAUUUCAGAAUACGAAAAAUGCUUUAUUUUGAAAAAUUACCCGAUUCUCCGUUACAUCCAUCUGUGUCACUCUUGCCGCACGUCAAGCCACGCUUCGCCGUCACGUGACCGAUUACUUCAAAACAAAACGCAGGAGCUCGUAAAAUGAGUUUUUAAAAACUGCCAGAGAUCGCAAAUGAUGGCGGCCUUAAAAGUAUGUUCGAGACAACAACUCCUCCGGUGUUCUGGAUUAAAGUUAUGGUUGAAUACUCUGCGAUCACCACAAUAGCACUGUUGCUAUUUCCGACAUGCUACCUGUGUGAAGCGGGGGUUUUCUGGAGCAACGGCGACUAAAACAAAAUUACAAAGUAGACUGGAUAUAAACCACACACUUCAGGUGUCAUUUUCUCCUAUUUCUCCUAUUUCUCCUAUUUGCUCGGGGCUCGCACUGAUUUAGCAUUGUGGUGAGUGGUCAUUUUCAUGCACUUUGAAUUUGCGUUGUAUUGUAUUUUGAUUAAACAUUACCAUAUCAAUCAAAUUAGACGCUCCUCAUUUUUAUUAUCUUUCGAAAACACCACGACAACACCGCAUGCAGCUCAUAACAUAUAUAUUUAUUAUAUAUAUUUAUACCAUAUAUAUUUAUUUAUCCGCCACACUUUAAAUGCCGGACCCUGAAAAUAUUGUCUGACAUAAACCGGUCCGUGGGGCAGAAAAGGUUGGGGACCCCUGAUCUACUGUACAUCUGAAUGCAGUAGAUUUGGUCCAAGGGAAAGGCAGAAGGUGCAGCCUUCUUGGUUUGCGCCAUCCACAAAAGCAGAGUGAAUCAUACAGCGCUCCACAAAGAACGUGCAAAAACCCAUUCACAAACCCAUUAGGGAAAUGAACUUUGAAUUUUUGGUGUGUUUCGAUGUUUUUGAAAUGCCAAUCGAAUGAAUACUGCUCUGAGCAAUAAGUGAAAAUGGGAACCUUUGUCCUGGUAAAUUUCGAUGACCUUGCUCACUAUUGGUGAGAUAAUAGUUUUCGUGGUCUACUUCCUGACAUGGGACAGUACUCCUUCCUGUAAGGAGGCGAUUAAGUGCUGUAAUUGGCUCUCUGCGUUGCAGACGAGUACGGGGCUGGCUGGUUUUGACAAGUGUGCUCGUCCCCUCUCGGCGCCUGCUGCUUUGUCAGGAGUUAAAUUGCAUGGUUAAUUCGGAUGUUAUUUACCCUGUAAUUCAUUAGUUAGGGCCGCCAUUGGCGGCUUGCAGGCUGUAAUUUCACGCUUGGCAAUAAAAGAUGUCUCAUAAUCUGCUUCAUUUAGCAGCCAAAGAAUUUAAUGAAAUUAACUGUGGCCCUAAUUAAGACGGUGAAUAUUAAAGACCUGCCAUGAAGGCUUUAACGAGGGUGACACGAUCCGCAUUUCGCCGGAUCCGAAAAAUAUCAUUUCCCCGUGAAAGGUUGUCACUGCUCUGAGCCAUUUUGGCCAUCAUGACAUUUUUGUCACGCACACUCACCCCUGCAAAUGAGAUUUUGCAGGGGGCGUCACUCCCAUUUUAGUCGGAGGAAUAAUUAAAACAUGCCACACAGGCGUCAAUCAAAUGAACAUACUCAUUACGCCUCAUCUCCAGUUUUUUUUUGCCACGGGCUUGUCGCAUGAUGACCGUUGUUGGCCUGAGGGACUUGUGUGUUUUAUGACUGUUAAUACACUGAAACUAACUGCUCCAGUAAGCUUUUAGGUUUGUCAUUCAUUAUCCCGAUUGCCAAUUUCCUUGGUUACUAACCUGUAGGAGAAGUGACCCUGAGCCAACUUUAUUUUUCUUGUGAGAAUCUGUAUUUAGCACAAAGCAAUUGCCAAUAAUGUGGAAACUUUGUAAAACUUUGAACCAGUGAGGCAUGUGGUUGAUCACAUCUCAGCCAUCGGAACCAUUUGGCUAAGCUGCCUGCAAUCUUGGUACAUCCACACACGCUCUGUCUGAAAGCAUGAUGGAUGAGCUGCGAUGGCCAGCGCGAUAGAGGAGGCAGCGUUCAGCUUCCUUCCCACCCACUGUCACCCCCCUUAAGUCUGCUGUCUAAGGGUGACACCUCCAAUUUAGCUUCUUGCUCUUGUGGGAUUCCCAUGAACAAAAGGCCUGUGGCCCCUCAGAAAUCAGCCCGUUCUGUGGAGAGCGUGUCCUUCUCUGUCUCGCCGAUUGAGCGCCCUCUGUAUCUCUUUUUUGGAUCACACCCGGGACUAUCCAUUGUGUGAACAACAUCGGGCUGAUGGAGGGAUUAAAUACUCUAUUAGUUCAUAGCAGACCAGGAAAGUUUCUUCACUGCAUCACAAAAGAGGCUUGGGGGAGAGCUCGCUUAAUGUGUUCCAAGUAAGGAGCACUUAGAUUGGUAGAUUUGGGGAAAAACAUUCCUGAAGAACAAAUUGUGGCGUUUGGGACUGGUUGUUGGAGCGAUGCUAAUUGGUCUCCUGAAGAAUUUUUUGUUAUUUUUGUUUGGUGGUUUAUCGUGAGGGUUUUUUGUUUGUUUUUUUCCUACCUAAGAUGUCGCAGUCCGGAAAACCCUGAUCUAAUAAUUACUCUCCUAAAUUAAAGGUAUGACAGUAAUUAACUAAGUCUAGUACGAUGCACGUAGACUAAGAUAUGUCAUAAUUCAUAUCCAAUAGUGAUAGAAUAAUGAUCAUGUAAAAUCCCGUGCAUAAUAUGCAUUUUUUUUUCAUUCCGCUCCUUAUAUAAAUAAUCAAACAUGGUCGUUGUACACGGUUUAAUUAAUCAUGUGCAACCGAUGAUUCUGAUUCUGAUGUCAACAUGCUCGCAAUCAAACCCUAAACUCCAUGUUGGGAGACGACCACGCUAUCACUGAGCCAUGUCACCCUAUUGUCCAGUAGAGCCAAUCAUUUUUUUAUUUUGCAUCUCCAUAUGCACGGACAUUGGCGUGAUGUUAACCUACUGCAAUACUAAGUCAGGGUUGAUUGUUGAGACCCCAUACUGUGAGUACUAACACCAAAUUUGUGACUUACCGGUUUUCUGGAAAGUAGUGCAGGCCUAUUCAACAUCUUUGUCCGACACGUGACUGCUGAACGACCCUGGUGUCUCAUCUAAUGAAUGACCUCAUCUCUCUGCUUCCCGUCAACAAGCGACCUUUCCGAAGCACUACUUCUUUGCAGUCUUUACUCACCGUCCAGCUUCCUCUACCUGAGCUUAACUGUGACGCUCGCCAGCGCCUUUGGACAUUUUUGGAUAGUGAACAAAUGACAUCAUCUCCCCAUCAACCGAUCCUCCCCUACCUCCCCCGCCAGCUAUCGACCUUUUCCUAAGCACUAGGCCACAAUACUUCACGGGGCAGGGAAGUGCCAAGUGAGUAUAUCUGAGGACAUAUUUCCCCCACACAGAGACCUUGUGUGCCGUCAUGACAGCCAGUCCGCUCCUGAAGGCGAAUUGUGCCGUGUGUGUCACCGAGCCUGCAGACGCACAUAAUGAAACAUAUUAGCCAUCGGCGUUCAGUUCGCCUCACCCUCAUGCAAAGUGAUCGCAUGCCAUGCACAGGACGGAUGACUCAAAUGAAUCCGCUGAUGUCUCCUGUCCCAAAACGUCUUUUGGACAGACCAUUGUGAGGAAUGUUAAGCAGUGAAGCACCGACCCCCGGGUCACUACAAUCUUGGACACCUUCUGACUAUUUCUUUUUGGCAUACAUUACUGAAAUAUAAAGAGUGCGUGUAUGUGGUGUAUCAGAAAAGUGACGUAGUGGUGUUUACAAAGACUGAUCCAAAUCCAAAGAUCCAAAAUACAAGUUUUCCCCUUCAAAGUAAUCACCCCGGAGUCUAAACAUACUUUCUCUGCCUUGUCUGUCUUAUCAAGAUUACGCUGGGAUCCUCAACAGCUCUGUUGUCCUUGCCAUUCUGCUGUCAUGCACUUCUUCAAAACUACUCCCCUUGCUCAUCCCUUUAAUAUUGGCACAGGGGGGGAAAAAAUCACAUCGAUAUCUGGUAGCCAAUUCUAUUUUGGUAGGAACCUUCCAUUCCCUCAUCGGGUGUUCCAAUCAGAACGAUGCCGUUUAAAUGUUUGAGAGUUAUUGGAAACCUUUUGGAGUUUGAUGAUUACAAAGAAGGAUGCACUGACAAGUUUGUCUCAAACAAGCUUGCCAGUUGGUAAACUCCAGUAAAACUCAGUGGAUUUAACAUGUUGACUUAAUUUUUAACAGUGGCUGUGUUAAAAACUGCCCUUGUGCUCAUAAUAAUCUUCAGUGGCCCAACUGCAAGGACCUUUGACUCAUCGUAUUGACCUUUAUGCACCACAGGGAAGCUCGUACGUGUUCAGUCUACUUGCUCUUCAUUUGGAGCCAGCGGACCCACUCGAAACAUGUGGAAAUGUAGCAGUGCCUUUUAGGGAACAAAAGUGCCUCGCUAAAUAAGCAUAAUUCACACUCAGGCAAAUCAGAUCCUAUUAUCAGCGCUCAGCUCGGGUUGCUAUAACAAUGUACAAGUUGGUACAUAGACUGAUGAAGCAGAAUGAAAGUGUGUGCAUUGGGUGGGGGCAACAUGCAGCUAUUUAUUUAUUUAUUUGGUUAUUUAUUUAUACUUGUGUGGGGGAAGAGACUGAUCCAAAUCGUAGUCAGAGCAGACUUGUCUAUGCAGUGAGAGAUUUGCAGGCAUCCGCAAAGUCGCAACUGACAUCUCUGGAGAUCCUUAUUUGAAUCCCCUCCCCAUUUGGUUUGAAUCCAUCUUGCCUAAAUUGGCUUUUCUGUCAUCCGUGUUGUUCAGAUUCAAAUCAAGCUGGAUUCAAGCUGAUUAUGACCCCCUCAAGAAAAGGAUUUGGGGCUUUUUGUGAGAUCACAGUUUAUCAACUGAUUCCCCAUCUUAGAAUGCAGCUAAGCAGAACCUGAUUAAUGACAGCACUGUUGUGUGCGGAUGUAGUAUUUCUCCUAUUAUUUCACUGCAAAUUACGGCAAAUGUUCGGUCACCCCGGGCCUGCUGCUCCUUCAUGCCUCAACCACUGGCUGUCGUAAUUCAAUUCAUUUCAACCUCUUCCCUCCAACACAGGUUGUCUUAAUCAAAGCUGAGCAUUGAGAGCAGCGCCGACUGUGCUUCUCCCCUCAUUCGUCUCCUCCUUCUUGGGUGUUUCCGCCGCAUGCCCCCUCCCUUUACGGCUGGACUCUAUUAAUAUCCUGUGUCGGCGUGUUAAUGUUGUUGAGGUCCAGUGGAGUGACACGCGUGGCAGCACGGCUUUAAUUGCUAAUCAGUGGACAGUUUUAUCCGCUGCCGCCGCCUCCCAUUCCCCCCCAGCCCCCAUCACUCCUCCCGCCAUGCCUUUCUCCCCGCCAUCUAUGCGACCUUCGUGCUCUCUCACCUAAUGAAUGGAGCACAAAUGAAGUGUGGGCGGCGGUGGCCCGGCCUCGCUGCUCAGUCAGCCGCGGCUGAUGUGCGUAGGAGCGGCGGGCAGAGAAGCGGCGACAUUAACAAGCCUGAAGAGGGGAAAAAGUCAGACAAUUAAACGACGCUGGCAAAUGUCGUAAGCUCGUUAAGGCACUCGUGUACACUGAGACGGACAAUUGCGUGUUUAUGGCACUAAAUGCACUCAGAUUCGUUAGUGGUCAUUUUUGAUUGAAGCAUUAUUUCCAUACUGAACAACACGAGGCGGUCAUGAUCAAAGCUUUGGAUAUACCGUACGUGCCAUGCAGUAUGCAUCCUACGCACCUUGCAGAUUUUGAAAAAAAUCCUUUUUUGAAAUUAGCGACAGUGCACUUUUUAAAAGAGAAUUUCAAUUUCUACAUACAGUGUUUAUAUAAAUAAAGCAAUGUAGACUAAUUUCUGUCCUUCAGCCCGCUGCAAUUUUGAUCCUGACAUAAUAUUAGAAAAAGACAAAACACUACUUUUAAAGAGACACACAAAGAUAUAAGGCUCGUUUAUGGCAGAGAUGUAGAACAAUGACUCUGAGCAAAUUAUGUGCAAGUGAAACAGCCGCCUCCUGGGUUAUGUAGGAUCUGCUGGAGUUUCAGAAACCUGCUUCCAUCUUUUGUCCACAUCACGCAUGCUUAUACAUGCACUGCAUUGUUCUGCUUCUACAUUAAGGGCGUGCUUGUUUGCAG